UACGUAGGGUGCAAGCGUUGUCCGGAAUUAUUGGGCGUAAAGAGCUCGUAGGCGGUCUGUCGCGUCGGCUGUGAAAUCCCGGAGCUCAACUCCGGGCCUGCAGUCGAUACGGGCAGACUGGAGUUCGGCAGGGGAGACUGGAAUUCCUGGUGUAGCGGUGAAAUGCGCAGAUAUCAGGAGGAACACCGGUGGCGAAGGCGGGUCUCUGGGCAGUAACUGACGCUGGAGGAGCGAAAGCGUGGGGAGCGAACAGGA
RNAcentral lists this ribosomal RNA (255 nucleotides) under uncultured bacterium. RNAcentral describes it as "partial 16S ribosomal RNA". It matches the Rfam family "Bacterial small subunit ribosomal RNA", at positions 524 to 777 of the family's 1533-position model. The record is from RNAcentral.